This 330-nucleotide ribosomal RNA is filed under the name Reticulitermes flavipes (eastern subterranean termite). Its description in RNAcentral is "partial 16S ribosomal RNA". The record is from RNAcentral. Lineage: Eukaryota; Metazoa; Arthropoda; Insecta; Blattodea; Rhinotermitidae.
ACUGACCUUGAAUGUUGAAGGGCCGCGGUAUUUUGACCGUGCAAAGGUAGCAUAGUCAUUAGUUCUUUAAUUGUGAYCUGGUAUGAAUGGCYWSACGAGGCAUGAGCUGUCUUAAUUUUGAAUUGUUUAUUGAAUUUGGUCUUUGAGUUAAAAUUCUUAGAUGUUUUUAUGGGACGAGAAGACCCUAUAGAGUUUUACAUUUAUUAUGGUCUCUUUCUGUUUGUGAGGGUUCACUAGGGCUGUUUAAUAUGUUUUGUUGGGGUGAUGGGAGGGAUAUUGUUUAACCCCUCCUUUAUGUUGUUAUAUUUAUUAAUAUUUGCUUGAUCCAUG